GACGAACCGAGCGAACGUUAUUCGGAAUCACUGGGCUUAAAGGGCGCGUAGGCGGGCGGCCAAGUCAGAGGUGAAAGCCUCCAGCUCAACUGGAGAAGUGCCUUUGAUACUGGUCAUCUCGAGGGAGAUAGGGGCGUGCGGAACUUCCGGUGGAGCGGUGAAAUGCGUUGAGAUCGGAAGGAACGCCCGUGGCGAAAGCGAGGUCCUGGACGCCUACUGACGCUGAGACGCGAAAGCCAGGGGAGCGAACGGG
Molecule: ribosomal RNA, 253 nt
Filed under: uncultured bacterium
Lineage: Bacteria
Description: partial 16S ribosomal RNA
Rfam family: Bacterial small subunit ribosomal RNA
Source: RNAcentral